AAGAAGCCUCACACACUCAGAACUUCCUUAAAAGAAAUGGAGACGGAGGAAAGGCAUCGUAUCACAUAUAUUUGAAAUAACAGGCUUGGCAGACACGCGGCUGCUGGAGCAGGACGUCUGACCCAACUCCAGUGAAUGACACAUGAGGGAGAGGCUGCUGGGAGUGUUCACAGUUUCGACACACCCCUCGCCCCCGAUGUUGCCUGGACGUGAGCUGGGAAGUGCCGUGGCCAUCGGGCCACCUGCCUAACAUCGGCUCUGAGGAUGGGAAGCACCGGGCAUGACAUGGAAACAACCUAAGUGUCCAUGGAGGGAUGAAUGGAUAAAGAAGAUGUGAUAUAUACACACAAUGGAAUAUUACUCAGCCUUAAAAACGAAAGAGAUUCUGUCACAGGCUACAACGUAAAUGAACCUUGAGGACAUGAUGCUCAGUGAAAUAAGCAAGUCACAAAAGACAAAUAAUGUACAAUUCCACUUAUACGAGGUUCCUAGAAUCAAAGUUGUAGAGACAGAAAAUGGAAUAGUGGCUGCCGGGGGUGGGGAAGGGGAGAAAUGGGAAGGUGAACAGGUGCAGAGUUUCCUGGGUUAUAAGAUGAAAAAAUUCUGGAGCUCUGUUGUACCAAAAGGUGCAUGUAGUUAAUACUGCUGAACUGCACACUUAAAAUUUACCAUCUUAACCAUUUCUGUUUUUAGCCACAAUUAAAACUUUAAAAAUUAUCUUUUUAAAUGUCACUUUUUAAAAAUUUUUAUUUAUUUAUUUUUGGCUGCGUUGGGUCUUUGAUACUGCACGUGGGUUUUCUGUAGUUGCAGCGAGUGGGGGCUACUCUUCGUUGCGGUGCACGGGCUUCUCAUUGCAGUGGCUUCUCUUGUUACAGAGCACAGACUCUAGGCGUGUGGGCUCCAGUAGUUGUGGCACGCGGACUCAGUAGUUGUGGCUCACGGGCUCUAGAGCACAGGCUCAGUAGUUGUGGCACACAGGCUUAGUUGCUCCGCGGCAUGUGGGAUCUUCCCGGACCAGGGCUCGAACCCGUGUCCCCUGCGUUGGCAGGCAGAUUCUUAACUACUGCGCCACCAGGGAAG
Molecule: non-coding RNA, 1080 nt
Organism: Kogia breviceps (pygmy sperm whale)
Lineage: Eukaryota; Metazoa; Chordata; Mammalia; Artiodactyla; Physeteridae
Source: RefSeq, a predicted model, not a curated record